This is a long non-coding RNA of Ostrinia nubilalis (European corn borer), 474 nucleotides long. RefSeq lists it as uncharacterized. Lineage: Eukaryota; Metazoa; Arthropoda; Insecta; Lepidoptera; Crambidae. The transcript has 2 exons. The record is from RefSeq and is a predicted model, not a curated record.
AAAAAAAAAAAAAGUCACGGGAGAUUUGGAUUGAAUUUCGCAAGGCCAAAUUAAAAGCUACCUACCUACAAAUUAAUUUUGUUAACAUUGAUGAAUUUAACAAGGGAAUUUAAAAUAGGGGAGUUAAUGGAGUUAAGUAUGCAUUUAAUGUUAGAGGGACGGGGGAAAGCUUUAGGGAGAAAAUCGUACAGUGAGGAUCCAAUUUUGGGACAGUUAAAAAAGAUGUGGUUGGUUGUUCCUUCAUCCAGGCCGCACUCGCAGAUGGAGCUAUCUUUAAUGCGCAUUUUCGCAAGGUGGACAGGGGUGCACGCAUGACCAAGACGCAGGCGACAUAUGACGGAGACAGUUCUUUUAGGUAUCCAGACAGCUGCGCCAGUGCAGCCACCUUCGUCCAGCUUGGAGGCGUCAGUAAAUAUCUUAAGCCAGCCUUGCCAGUGCUCGGAGACAAUAUUAAUAAAUUCUUGACCUGCUGAA